This 333-nucleotide ribosomal RNA is filed under the name uncultured bacterium. RNAcentral's name for it is "bacterial SSU rRNA". It matches the Rfam family "Bacterial small subunit ribosomal RNA", at positions 568 to 898 of the family's 1533-position model. The record is from RNAcentral.
CUCGUAGGCGGCCAACUAAGUCAGACGUGAAAUCCCCCGGCUUAACUGGGGAACUGCGUCUGAUACUGGGUGGCUUGAGAUUGGGAGAGGGAUGCGGAAUUCCAGGUGUAGCGGUGAAAUGCGUAGAUAUCUGGAGGAACACCGGUGGCGAAGGCGGCAUCCUGGACCAACACUGACGCUGAGUGAGCGAAAGCCAGGGGAGCAAACGGGAUUAGAUACCCCGGUAGUCCUGGCCCUAAACGAUGAAUGCUUGGUGUGACGGGUAUCGAUCCCUGUCGUGCCGAAGCUAACGCAUUAAGCAUUCCGCCUGGGGAGUACGGUCGCAAGGCUGAA